CCUACGGGAGGCAGCAGUGAGGAAUAUUGGACAAUGGGCGCAAGCCUGAUCCAGCCAUGCCGCGUGCAGGAUGACGGUCCUAUGGAUUGUAAACUGCUUUUAUACGAGAAGAAACACCCCUACGUGUAGGGACUUGACGGUAUCGUAAGAAUAAGGAUCGGCUAACUCCGUGCCAGCAGCCGCGGUAAUACGGAGGAUCCAAGCGUUAUCCGGAAUCAUUGGGUUUAAAGGGUCCGUAGGCGGUUUAGUAAGUCAGUGGUGAAAUCUCCCCGCUCAACGGGGAAACGGCCAUUGAUACUGCUAGACUUGAAUUAUUAGGAAGUAACUAGAAUAUGUAGUGUAGCGGUGAAAUGCUUAGAGAUUACAUGGAAUACCAAUUGCGAAGGCAGGUUACUACUAAUGGAUUGACGCUGAUGGACGAAAGCGUGGGUAGCGAACAGGAUUAGAUACCCUGGUAGUCCACGCCGUAAACGAUGGAUACUAGCUGUUGGGUGACAAACUCAGUGGCUAAGCGAAAGUGAUAAGUAUCCCACCNCGGAGUACGUCGCGAGAAGAGAACGUAACGAAGAAGUAGACGCGUGAGAGUAGCGACGACGACGACGACGGGAGGAGG
This 613-nucleotide ribosomal RNA is filed under the name uncultured bacterium. RNAcentral describes it as "bacterial SSU rRNA". The stretch from base 1 to 534 matches the Rfam family "Bacterial small subunit ribosomal RNA", at positions 338 to 873 of the family's 1533-position model. The record is from RNAcentral.